AAGUUUGAUUUCUCGCAGACCAGGAGGACCCAUUGGACCCCCGGGCUGGCUGCAGGGCCCACACCUGGGUUAGACCUCGCACAGGGACGCUGCUGCCACUGUAAUAAAGCGUGCCUACACGCUUCUGAAACUGGUGUAGGAACAACCUCAGUUCUGUGAAAGGCGGACGCAGCAGGACAGAAUCUCCGUGGACAUCUGUCUGGAGGAGCAAUUUUACUGCGACAUUUUAAAGAAACAAAUUUAAUUGAUUUCCAAGGGUGUCCAUCGCGCUUCCUUCACUGCCUUGAUCAUGUCGGGGUCACCACCUGCGGGGGUUUGUCCUGCAGACCCUGACUCAACGACGGAUGAAUAAUGUACACUGACACAGAUCUUAUGCUUGUCAGUCCUGCUGAGCAUCCAGGCCACUUACAGACUCCAAGAAGAGUCCUGUCAGCCACGGCUCUGACUUGUUGGCCCUCCCGGCAUUUAUUUAGCACACAUUUAAUGACAGAAGUCUCAGGUAUUCAAAUGGGAGAGACUCUUGACUGACACCAGGCAUUCUAAUGAGAGAGACUCCAGGAAGAUCCAGGCAGUCUAAUGAUAAAUAUACCUGGGCGAACCCAGCCAUUCUAAUUGGAGAGACUUCUGGCUACCUCAGUCAUUCUAAGGCUGGAAACACUCUUUUUGUAGAACAUACAAAUGGACAUUUCUAAGCACAUUGAGGCCUAUAAUGAAAAAUCAAAUAUCCCACAAUGAAAACUAGAAGGAAGCUAUCUGUGAUAAUGCUUUGUGGUGUAUGGAUUCAUCUCACUGACUGAAACCUGAGUUUUGAUUCACCAGGUUGGAAACUCUUUCUGCAGAAUCUGCAAAGAAAUAUUUCUGAGCCCAUUGAGGCCUACAGUGGAAAACUGAAUAUUCUGUGAUAAAACUAGAAACACCCUAUCUGUGAAAAUGCUUUGUGAUGUGUGGAUUUUUCUCAUCGAAUGGAACCUCUGUUUUGACUCACAAGGGUGAAACACUAUUUUAGUAGAAUCUAGGAAGAAACAUAUCUGAGCCCAUUUAUGCCUACAGUGAGAAACUGAAUACCCUGCAAUAAAAAGUAGACAGAAGCUAUUUGUAAAAAUGCUUUGUGAUGUGUGGAUUCAGUGUUAAACUUUUAUUUUGAUUCCACAGUUUUGACACCCUAUUUGUAGAAUAUAUGAAUGAACAUUUCU
Long non-coding RNA from Homo sapiens (human), 1193 nucleotides. Ensembl annotates it as long intergenic non-protein coding RNA 662. NCBI's taxonomy places the organism in Eukaryota, Metazoa, Chordata, Mammalia, Primates, Hominidae. The record is from Ensembl.